This 780-nucleotide long non-coding RNA is filed under the name Mytilus galloprovincialis (Mediterranean mussel). The record is from RNAcentral. Lineage: Eukaryota; Metazoa; Mollusca; Bivalvia; Mytilida; Mytilidae.
AUUUAAAAUUCUGUAAACAUAAACUAGAGGCUCUCAAGAGCCUGUGUCGCUCACCUGUUAAUGUGUUUACUGAUGUCGGCCAUCUUCGUUGGUAGGCGGGGUCAUUAGACACUUUUUUUUAAAAUAGAUACCCUAGUAUUAUGAUUGUAGCCAAGUUUGGUUAAAUUUGGCCAAGUCGUUUUAGAAAAGAUUUUUAUACAAGUUACAAAAAUGACGAAAAAUUGUUCAAUAUUGACUAUAAAGGGCAAUAACUCCUUAAGGGGUCCUCUAACAAUUUUGAUCAUGCUGACUUAUUUGUAGAUCUUACUUUGCUGAACAUUAUUGCUGUUUACAGUUUAUCUCUAUCUAUAAUAGUAUUCAAGAUAAUAACCAAAAACUGCAAAAUUUCCUUAAAAUAACCAUUUCACAGGCAGCAACCCAACAACAGGUUGUCCUAUUCGUCUGAAAAUUUCAGGGCAGAUAGAUCUUCACCUGAUCAACCAUUUUACCCCCAUGUCAGAUUUGCUCUAAAUGCUUUGGUUUUUGAGUUAUAAGCCAAAAACUGCAUUUUACCCCUAUGUUCUAUUUUUAGCCAUAGCGGCCAUCUUGGUUGGUUUGACGGGUCACGCCACACAUUUUUUAAACUAGAUACCCCAAGGAUGAUUGUGGCCAAGUUUGGUAGAAUUUGGCCCAGUAGUUUCAGAGGAGAAGAUUUUUGUAAAAGUUUACGGACGACGGACGCAGGACGACGGACGACGGACGCCAAGUGAUGAGAAAAACUCACUUGACCUUUCAGGUCAG